CACUCCUACGGGAGGCAGCAGUGGGGAAUUUUGGACAAUGGGCGAAAGCCUGAUCCAGCAAUGCCGCGUGUGUGAAGAAGGCCUUCGGGUUGUAAAGCACUUUUGUCCGGAAAGAAAUCCUUGGCUCUAAUACAGUCGGGGGAUGACGGUACCGGAAGAAUAAGCACCGGCUAACUACGUGCCAGCAGCCGCGGUAAUACGUAGGGUGCGAGCGUUAAUCGGAAUUACUGGGCGUAAAGCGUGCGCAGGCGGUUUACUAAGACCGAUGUGAAAUCCCCGGGCUCAACCUGGGAACUGCAUUGGUGACUGGCAGGCUAGAGUAUGGCAGAGGGGGGUAGAAUUCCACGUGUAGCAGUGAAAUGCGUAGAGAUGUGGAGGAAUACCGAUGGCGAAGGCAGCCCCCUGGGCCAAUACUGACGCUCAUGCACGAAAGCGUGGGGAGCAAACAGGAUUAGAUACCCUGGUAGUCCCAUGA
RNAcentral lists this ribosomal RNA (475 nucleotides) under uncultured organism. RNAcentral describes it as "partial 16S ribosomal RNA". It matches the Rfam family "Bacterial small subunit ribosomal RNA", at positions 334 to 800 of the family's 1533-position model. The record is from RNAcentral.